Molecule: ribosomal RNA, 1001 nt
Filed under: Buchnera aphidicola (Prociphilus erigeronensis)
Lineage: Bacteria; Pseudomonadati; Pseudomonadota; Gammaproteobacteria; Enterobacterales; Erwiniaceae
Description: bacterial SSU rRNA
Rfam family: Bacterial small subunit ribosomal RNA
Source: RNAcentral
CGUCCAGACUCCUACGGGAGGCAGCAGUGGGGAAUAUUGCACAAUGGGCGAAAGCCUGAUGCAGCUAUACCGCGUGUAUGAAGAAGGCCUUAGGGUUGUAAAGUACUUUCGUUGGGGAGGAAAAAUAAAUAGAUAAUACCUGUUUAUCGUGACGUUACCCAAAAAAGAAGCACCGGCUAACUCCGUGCCAGCAGCCGCGGUAAUACGGAGGGUGCAAGCGUUAAUCAGAAUUACUGGGCGUAAAGAGCUCGUAGGCGGUUUUUUAAGUCAGAUGUGAAAUCCCUGGGCUUAACCUAGGAACUGCAUUUGAAACUAAAAGACUAGAGUAUCGUAGAGGGAGGUAGAAUUCUAGGUGUAGCGGUGAAAUGCGUAGAUAUCUGGAGGAAUACCUGUGGCGAAAGCGGCCUCCUAAAUGAAUACUGACGCUGAGGUGCGAAAGCAUGGGGAGCAAACAGGAUUAGAUACCCUGGUAGUCCAUGCCGUAAACGAUGUCGACUUGGAGGUUGUUUCCUUGAGAAGUGACUUCCGAAGCUAACGCGUUAAGUCGACCGCCUGGGGAGUACGGUCGCAAGGCUAAAACUCAAAUGAAUUGACGGGGGCCCGCACAAGCGGUGGAGCAUGUGGUUUAAUUCGAUGCAACGCGAAAAACCUUACCUGGUCUUGACAUCCACAGAAUUUUUCAGAGAUGAAAAAGUGCCUUAGGGAACUGUGAGACAGGUGCUGCAUGGCUGUCGUCAGCUCGUGUUGUGAAAUGUUGGGUUAAGUCCCGCAACGAGCGCAACCCUUAUCCUCUGUUGCCAUUGGUUCGGCCAGGAACUCAGAGGAGACUGCCGGUUAUAAACCGGAGGAAGGCGGGGACGACGUCAAGUCAUCAUGGCCCUUACGACCAGGGCUACACACGUGCUACAAUGGUGUAUACAAAGAGAAGCAACUCUGUAAAGACAAGCAAACCUCAUAAAGUACAUCGUAGUCCGGACUGGAGUCUGCAACUCGACUCCCAG